Molecule: ribosomal RNA, 496 nt
Filed under: uncultured bacterium
Lineage: Bacteria
Description: partial 16S ribosomal RNA
Rfam family: Bacterial small subunit ribosomal RNA
Source: RNAcentral
AUGAACGCUGGCGGCGUGCCUAAUACAUGCAAGUAGAACGCUGAAGGAAGGAGCUUGCUCUUUCCGGAUGAGUUGCGAACGGGUGAGUAACGCGUAGGUAACCUGCCUGGUAGCGGGGGAUAACUAUUGGAAACGAUAGCUAAUACCGCAUAACAGUAGAUGUUGCAUGAUAUCUACUUAAAAGGUGCAAUUGCACCACUACCAGAUGGACCUGCGUUGUAUUAGCUAGUUGGUGCGGUAACGGCUCACCAAGGCGACGAUACAUAGCCGACAUGAGAGGGUGGUCGGCCAGACUGGGACGGAGACACGGCCCAGACUCCUACGGGAAGCAGCAGUAGGGAAUCUUCGGCAAUAGACGGAAGUCUGACCGAGCAACGCCGCGUGAGUGAGGAGGGUUUUCGGAUCGUAAAGCUCUGUUGUAAGAGAAGAACGAGUGUGAGAGUGGAAAGUUCACACUGUGACGGUAUCUUACCAGAAAGGGACGGCUAACUACGUG